CACAAUACAUUAGUACAACUUACAGUCUGCAAAAAUCCCGCGUUUGAAGAGAACGUCUCGGAACCAUUCUCAAUGAAAAAUAUGUGGAAAUUUCUUUCGAUUUGGACUUUGUGCUGCAUCAUCCACGAGCUAACCGUUGAGGCUGCGUCUUGCCAAGGAGAAUGCGUCCCAAUUGCUUGUGAUAAAAAUAAAGUUCUAAGCGGCGAAGAAACACCCAUAUUCAAUCUUAGGUUAGAAACAAACGAGUGUGAUAAUGUACUCGAAGUUUGCUGUCCCACAACAGAUAUUGUUCCUCUGAAUGUCUCCCCGUCCAGACCGACACGUGUUGGUGAACAAUGUGGCAUUCGAAACGACAAUGGUGCGGGAGUUCAAAUCACCGGAAACACCAAGGGUGAAUCACAGUACGCGGAAUUUCCAUGGACGUUGAUGUUAUUUGCCGAAAUGGUCAUAUUCGAUGAACCGAAAGACAUUUACGUAGGUUCUGCAUCACUUAUAUCAUCUGCAGUGGCAUUGACUGCCGCCCAUACAAUUUCGCAACCUCAAGGCGAUGAGCUUUUCGUACGUGCCGGUGAAUGGGAUCUGAACGGAGAUAAUGAGCUGCUACCAAUACAGAAUCGCCGUGUGUCCAGAACAAUAGUUUAUGAAGGAUACAACCAGAAGCACCACAACAACAUAGCACUUCUUAUCCUAGAAAAGCCGUUUGAUCUAGACAAGCACAUCCAACCGAUUUGUCUCCCAUCACCAUCAAUUUCCUAUGAUCGGGAAACUUGUUUCACUGGUGGCUGGGGUGAAACCAAAUUCAUAGAUAAAAAGAGGGUGAAUAUUUUGAAAAAAGUUCAAGUUCCUCUAAUGGACCACGAUCAAUGCGAAGCUGCCUUCAGAACGACACGACUGGGACCGAACUUCUCUCUAGAUCGUAGUUAUAUUUGUGCAGGUGGAGAGGAAAAGGUUGACGUCUGCACAGGGGAUGGAGGCGCCCCGUUGAUUUGUCCGGAUUCCAGCGGUGUUUAUUACCAGAUUGGUAUAGUGGCGUGGGGCAUUGGCUGCGGACAACGUGGUAUCCCAGGGGCUUACACAAAUGUAGCUAUGUUCCGUGCUUGGAUUGAAUCACAACUGUAAUCAACGGUCGAUUUUUAAUUAUCGACGAAUAUGCGGGUAGUCGUAGGUACUAGUAUUUCUUAAACAUUAUGAGUCUGAAAUCGGUUUCAAAAUAAAAAGGAGCGACGUUACGAAAACAGUAAAAUACGCUGUACAGAUAACGCAGACAUAGCGGAGUGUUUUGAUUAGGGUGAACUGUUAUCAACAGAUUUGUUAAAGGAGCAUUUUGUUUCGACAAACUCAAAAAAUGCAGAUCAGCUACUAAAUGUCAAAAAAAACUGACAAAAUGCAAAAACAAGUACAUGUGGCAAUGAUGAGUUUCUUUUGCAAAAUUUUGUGUAAAUAUGAAUCGAGCUUUUUGCGAGGCUAAGCGUGCGACAUCUGGCGAAAAUAUGGCUCAUAGUCAACAAGUCUGAUUGAUGCGCAUCAGAAAUUUGGCAAAACCCAGAUUUAUCUGGCCUAAUGGCCGCUUAAUGUGGACUUUUAGCACAGACUAACGAACGUAACACUUCAAGCAAAUUUUAGAUGAUAAUAGCACUUUAGGCAAUUAUUAUCUGCACCAUUAAUGUUAUUAGUUUUUUUUUAUGGCGGUGCCAGCUUAUUUGCAUAUGUUCAAUUGAAAAAUCGUCAAAAAAGUGGCGAUUUGUAUCAAACUAAAAAUUAAAAAGUUUAUCGGUCUUAUCCGCGGAAUUAGAAUAUGUAGAAUGACAGUGCUAAGAUGUUCAAGAUUAAAAUGAUGCUGAUAAUCCGGUUAUUGUCUUUGAUGCGGAAAAAACUCCUCACUCCUAUUGAUGGCCUGUUCAAUCUAUGUGAUGAUAGCAGCCAUGCUAGACCUGUCGCUUUAUUUGCGUAUGUGUCUACUUUGCAGUGGCUUACUUUUCUAAAAAUAAAACUAAAAACUAAUUAAAGAAAAAGUGCAGUUAAACAACGGACGGCAAAAUUUCUACAAACAGGAUAUGCAAAGCAUAGAACGUGUCGAAUGCGGAAUGUACCAACAUUGCAAAUAAACAAAAAUGAACUGUUGCGUUUCUCACGUAAAGAUUAUUUUCAAGGCAGAUAUCGAUCACGAAAGAAUACAACACUAAAUUCUCUACCUUGAACGUCACGAAUAUCAUUGCCCAAUUUGACGCUUCUUGUUCCGAAACAGGUAUAUUGCCUCGGAGUUCCCGGUGUUUUGUAGAAAAACCGGUCCACGCUUUCAUCUGUUUUGUUUUCAUACCCGGGGUUUUUUCUUUGAACUGGCUGUUGUCUAUGUAGACGUAUGUGAGCUUCCACGGAUGGCGCCUCGAACACAGUGAACUUCAAUCCUAUAUCAAUGUAUCAUGCACCAACGUAGCGACGCUCGAUUUUCUGUGGUAUUGCCGCAUUGUUAGAUAACGUAUUCUCUGACCGAUCCACUUUGUAGGUGAUCCGCCGAUCGCCAGCUACGGCUGACCGCUCUCACUCUCUCACAGUCAGUACGCGAUUGUCUCUGAAAAAGUGCAGUUUGUAAGUCGGUUCUAGAGCGGUCAUUCUUGUAAGUUUUUGUUCUUAAAUGAACAUGCAGUUUGAAGACAAGAAAAACAAACUCGUUCGUCUAGUAUUUGCUUUGAGGCCAAUUUGUCUUUAACUUCGACAAAUAU
This is an RNA transcript of Wyeomyia smithii (pitcher-plant mosquito), 2720 nucleotides long. It is a transcript of the gene named phenoloxidase-activating factor 2, with no coding region annotated. NCBI's taxonomy places the organism in Eukaryota, Metazoa, Arthropoda, Insecta, Diptera, Culicidae. The transcript has 6 exons. The record is from RefSeq and is a predicted model, not a curated record.